Molecule: unclassified non-coding RNA, 215 nt
Filed under: Hevea brasiliensis (rubber tree)
Lineage: Eukaryota; Viridiplantae; Streptophyta; Magnoliopsida; Malpighiales; Euphorbiaceae
Source: RNAcentral
AUUUUUUGCAAGCGUGCACCUUUGGUUGGAUGCCAAUCACCUGUUGGAACCCGCCAUGGUCUUAAAUAUCAGAGAGGUGAUACAUGAAAAUGGAGCAGUGCUUGCAUACAUUUUAAGAUAGAAGAAUUAAACAUAUCUACUUUUAUUUCAUGACUCAUUUCAACUUGAUGUAUGAUUGCAUCAUGGCAUAUAUACGUUACAGUUUUUCUUUGGUG